UACGGGAGUGGCAAGCGUUAUCCGGAAUUAUUGGGCGUAAAGCGUCCGCAGGCGGUCUUGUAAGUCUGUUGUUAAAGCGUGGAGCUUAACUCCAUUUCAGCAAUGGAAACUGUAAGACUAGAGUGUGGUAGGGGCAGAGGGAAUUCCCGGUGUAGCGGUGAAAUGCGUAGAUAUCGGGAAGAACACCAGUGGCGAAGGCGCUCUGCUGGGCCAUAACUGACGCUCAUGGACGAAAGCCAGGGGAGCGAAAGGGAUUAGAUACCCCUGUAGUCCUGGCCGUAAACGAUGAACACUAGGUGUCGGGGGAAUCGACCCCCUCGGUGUCGUAGCCAACGCGUUAAGUGUUCCGCCUGGGGAGUACGCACGCAAGUGUGAAACUCAAAGGAAUUGACGGGGGCCCGCACAAGCGGUGGAGUAUGUGGUUUAAUUCGAUGCAACGCGAAGAACCUUACCAGGGUUUGACAUCCUGCGAAUCUCUUGGAAACGAGAGAGUGCCUUCGGGAACGCAGUGACAGGUGGUGCAUGGCUGUCGUCAGCUCGUGUCGUGAGAUGUUGGGUUAAGUCCCGCAACGAGCGCGACCCACGUCGUUAGUUGCCAGCAUUUAGUUGGGCACUCUAGCGAGACCGCCGGUGAUAAACCGGAGGAAGGUGUGGAUGACGUCAAGUCAUCAUGCCCCUUACAUCCUGGGCUACACACGUACUACAAUGCUACGGACAAAGGGCAGCAAACUCGCGAGAGCUAGCAAAUCCCAUAAACCGUGGCUCAGUUCAGAUCGUAGGCUGCAACUCGCCUACGUGAAGGAGGAAUCGCUAGUAAUCGCAGGUCAGCAUACUGCGGUGAAUACGUUCCCGGGCCU
This 857-nucleotide ribosomal RNA is filed under the name uncultured bacterium. RNAcentral describes it as "SSU rRNA". It matches the Rfam family "Bacterial small subunit ribosomal RNA", at positions 524 to 1381 of the family's 1533-position model. The record is from RNAcentral.